AAGCCUGAUGCAGCCAUGCCGCGUGUAUGAAGAAGGCCGUUCGGGUUGUAAAGUACUUUCAGCAGUGAGGGAAGGCGGAGUCGUUAAUAGCGGCCCUCGGUUUUGACGUUAGCUGCAGAAGAAAGCACCGGCUAACUCCGUGCCAGCAGCCGCGGUAAUACGGAGGGUGCGAGCGUUAAUCGGAAUUUACUGGGCGUAAAGCGCAUGCAGGUGGUUUUGUUAAGUCAGAUGUGAAAGCCCGGGGCUCAACCUCGGAAUUGCAUUUGAAAACUGGCAGACUAGAGUACUGUAGAGGGGGUAGAAUUUCAGGUGUAGCGGUGAAAAUGCGUAGAGAUCUGAAGGAAUACCGGUGGCGAAGGCGGCCCCCUGGACAGAUACUGACACUCAGAUGCGAAAAGCGUGGGGAGCAAACAGGAUUAGAUACCCUGGUAG
RNAcentral lists this ribosomal RNA (432 nucleotides) under uncultured bacterium. RNAcentral's name for it is "bacterial SSU rRNA". It matches the Rfam family "Bacterial small subunit ribosomal RNA", at positions 379 to 793 of the family's 1533-position model. The record is from RNAcentral.